Molecule: ribosomal RNA, 459 nt
Filed under: uncultured bacterium
Lineage: Bacteria
Description: partial 16S ribosomal RNA
Rfam family: Bacterial small subunit ribosomal RNA
Source: RNAcentral
CCUACGGGUGGCAGCAGUGAGGAAUAUUGGUCAAUGGCCGAGAGGCUGAACCAGCCAAGUCGCGUGAGGGAAGACGGCCCUACGGGUUGUACACCUCUUUUGUCGGGGAGCAAAGCGAGUCACGUGUGACUCAUUGCGAGUACCCGAAGAAAAAGCAUCGGCUAACUCCGUGCCAGCAGCCGCGGUAAUACGGAGGAUGCGAGCGUUAUCCGGAUUGAUUGGGUUGAAAGGGUGCGCAGGCGGAGGUGGAAUUCAGCGGUCAAAUGGCGGGGCUCAACCCCGUACUGCCGUUGAAACUGCAUCCCUUGAGUGCGCGAGAAGUAUGCGGAAUGCGUGGUGUAGCGGUGAAAUGCAUAGAUAUCACGCAGAACUCCGAUUGCGAAGGCAGCAUACCGGCGCGCAACUGACGCUCAUGCACGAAAGCGUGGGUAUCGAACAGGAUUAGAUACCCUAGUAGUC